GGUGAGUAAUGUCUGGGAAACUGCCUGAUGGAGGGGGAUAACUACUGGAAACGGUAGCUAAUACCGCAUAACGUCGCAAGACCAAAGAGGGGACCUUCGGGCCUCUUGCCAUCAGAUGUGCCCAGAUGGGAUUAGCUAGUAGGUGGGGUAACGGCUCACCUAGGCGACGAUACAUAGCUGGUCUGAGAGGAUGACCAGCCACACUGGAACUGAGACACGGUCCAG
This 225-nucleotide ribosomal RNA is filed under the name uncultured Enterobacterales bacterium. RNAcentral's name for it is "partial 16S ribosomal RNA". It matches the Rfam family "Bacterial small subunit ribosomal RNA", at positions 105 to 334 of the family's 1533-position model. The record is from RNAcentral. Lineage: Bacteria; Pseudomonadati; Pseudomonadota; Gammaproteobacteria; Enterobacterales.